AAGGGUGCGUAGGUGGCCUGUUAAGUCAGGGGUGAAAGACGGUAGCUCAACUAUCGCAGUGCCCUUGAUACUGAUGGGCUUGAAUUGACUAGAGGUAGGCGGAAUGUGACAAGUAGCGGUGAAAUGCAUAGAUAUGUCACAGAACACCGAUUGCGAAGGCAGCUUACUAUGGUCUUAUUGACGCUGAGGCACGAAAGCGUGGGGAUCAAACAGGAUUAGAUACCCCCGGU
This 230-nucleotide ribosomal RNA is filed under the name uncultured bacterium. RNAcentral's name for it is "partial 16S ribosomal RNA". It matches the Rfam family "Bacterial small subunit ribosomal RNA", at positions 563 to 791 of the family's 1533-position model. The record is from RNAcentral.